CCGGCGCACGGGGUGAGUAACACGUAUGCAACCUGCCUGCCACAGCCGGAUAAUCGGGAGAAAUUCCGUCUAAUACGGCAUAAUGCAUCGACGGGACAUCCUGUUGGUGCCAAAGGUUAAUUCCGGUGGCGGAUGGGCAUGCGUCGCAUUAGUUAGUUGGCGGUGUAACGGACCACCAAGACGACGAUGCGUAGGGGUUCUGAGAGGAAGGUCCCCCACACUGGUACUGAGACACGGACCAGACUCCUACGGAAGGCAGCAG
RNAcentral lists this ribosomal RNA (262 nucleotides) under uncultured bacterium. Its description in RNAcentral is "partial 16S ribosomal RNA". It matches the Rfam family "Bacterial small subunit ribosomal RNA", at positions 95 to 354 of the family's 1533-position model. The record is from RNAcentral.